GACGAACGACCCAAUAUUCAUAUUGGUCAGAAUUUUGUUCUUACUCCUUUUUAUGAUGCUGCUUCUGUUCAAGUCUUACCAGAUUUUAUGACUAGAGUAGAUACGGUCAUUGAUGAACUAGGAGGUGAUAUGACAAUCUAAUCGUCUCCAAAUCACACACAGUUAAAACAAAGUGGGUUGCUUAAAGGGGAUGAUCUCACAGAUCGCUUUUUCCGAAUCCUCAUGGUUGUGGGUUUUUUGUAUAUGAAGUUUGAUCAAUAAUGGUAACUCCCUCUCCUUUUUGUUGCAUUGUAAAAAGAAAUACAUUUGCUUGGUUUGCUAGUUGCAGGUGGUUUAGCUGAAAAUCAUAUCUACUUUGCAAACCAUGUCAAGAUUUCUAGAUGUUGUUAUAUAAAUGUAAGGCGUGUUUAGAUGCAAGGCAUGCUCAGUUGAAUUGAACUAAAGGAAACAAAGAAAAAUGUAAAAAAAAAAAAAAAAAAACCAAUCUUGAAUCAGGUAUCAUUAUUCUAAUUUGAAUGAGGUUGGCAUUGCAUAUCAUGUAUUUUAAUUCAGACUCAAAAUCAUCUGAAUUUGCAGUUUCUGUCUCUUUUUUUUUUUUUU
Long non-coding RNA from Magnolia sinica, 600 nucleotides. RefSeq lists it as uncharacterized. The transcript is spliced from 3 exons. The record is from RefSeq and is a predicted model, not a curated record. Lineage: Eukaryota; Viridiplantae; Streptophyta; Magnoliopsida; Magnoliales; Magnoliaceae.